AUUGAACGCUGGCGGAAUGCUUUACACAUGCAAGUCGAGCGGCAGGCGCGGGGGCAACCCUGGCGGCGAGCGGCGAACGGGUGAGUAACAUAUCGGAACGUACCCAGGUCGUGGGGGAUAACUAAUCCGAAAAGGAUAGCUAAUACCGCAUACGACCUGAGGGUGAAAGCGGGGGACCGUAAGGCCUCGCGCGAUUGGAGCGGCCGAUAUCGGAUUAGCUAGUUGGUGAGGUAAAGGCUCACCAAGGCGACGAUCCGUAGCUGGUCUGAGAGGACGACCAGCCACACUGGAACUGAGACACGGUCCAGACUCCUACGGGAGGCAGCAGUGGGGAAUUUUGGACAAUGGGGGCAACCCUGAUCCAGCCAUUCCGCGUGAGUGAAGAAGGCCUUCGGGUUGUAAAGCUCUUUCAGCAGGAACGAAACGGUGGUCCCUAAUACGGGCUACUAAUGACGGUACCUGAAGAAGAAGCACCGGCUAACUACGUG
RNAcentral lists this ribosomal RNA (488 nucleotides) under uncultured bacterium. RNAcentral's name for it is "bacterial SSU rRNA". It matches the Rfam family "Bacterial small subunit ribosomal RNA", at positions 29 to 507 of the family's 1533-position model. The record is from RNAcentral.